RNAcentral lists this unclassified non-coding RNA (201 nucleotides) under Piscirickettsia salmonis. RNAcentral's name for it is "partial 16S-23S ribosomal RNA intergenic spacer". Lineage: Bacteria; Pseudomonadati; Pseudomonadota; Gammaproteobacteria; Thiotrichales; Piscirickettsiaceae. The record is from RNAcentral.
AUUUAGGGGUUAUUUUUAUUUUCGAUUGAGAUGUAUUUUUAUGUUUUGAUUGAUAAGAUGGGAAAUAAUUUUUAGUUUAUUUAAUUAACGAGUCCUUGGUAAUUUUUGAAAACCCGGGUGUUGAGAAUAUUAGUUUUUGAAUUGGUUUUUAAGUUAAAUAAGGAAUUUUAAGGGAUUUAUUGAAUAUAAGGACUUUUUGGG